Long non-coding RNA from Lagopus muta (rock ptarmigan), 4483 nucleotides. RefSeq lists it as uncharacterized. Lineage: Eukaryota; Metazoa; Chordata; Aves; Galliformes; Phasianidae. The transcript is spliced from 3 exons. The record is from RefSeq and is a predicted model, not a curated record.
UCUGUGUACCUGGGGCCUUCUGAAAGUAGUAGCUUCUUUCUUUUAUUUCUGUGCCCAUGGCUUUUGUAUUUGAGCAUAUCUUCACUUGCUGUAGCCUGGGGUCUUGCUGCUCUGUUUUCCAGUUAGCCUGAGAAGUAUUUAAACAGCAACAAGGAGCGUUAAGAUUUGACGUUAGGAUGAACUUCUCUUUCACCGGUGGUAGAGCAGCAAUGGAGACCACAGCACAGAAACAACCACAGAUCCUCUGUCUGCUAGCAGGAGAUACAGUCCUGGCUGGAAUGAUGUAUCUGCCCUGAGGGUGAAAGACGGAUUUAAUGAACAAAAUAAAUGUCCAUCCCAAGCAGUACUGCAAGUUGGAUUUUCCCACAGAAAACAGCAAUUUGUAGUUACUUACCAGGGGAACUGCAGAUUUGCUGAUGUCCCAACUCAGCAGGCUGCAGGACAAGGCUUCUCUGGUGAUCUGGACUUGGCCGACCCUGGUUGCCAUCACAAGACCUGCUCUGCUCUUCAUUAUUAGGUGCUGUACCCUAAGCUUCUUCCUGAAACAGACUGUCGUAUUUGUCCAGCUGUCAAAUUUACUGAUCCAACAAAAGCAAAGGAGUCUCGAGCAAUGCGGAAGAGGCAGAAUGGGUGAGGCAAGACCAACUGUUGGGACUCUGCUCUCUAUUUUCUCAUUACAACUCUGCUGCCCAUGCAUAAUGCCUUUAUUAUUUUCCCCAAAAUAAGAAGAGUCCUCAAAGAACAGAAUAAACCUCUGGCUGCAGUAGGAAUAUCUAGUGCUCUUUAUGCGAGAUGGCCUGGCACUUGAAAUAUUGUAGUCAAGAUCCCACUCCUUUCAAAAUAUUGUAGAUCUGGAAGCAGUACUGAAGCAUCAAGUAUGAUGUCACUUGUCCGUGGUAAGCUCAGCUAUAGCAGGUUGCUCCUGCUGCAGAAGACUAUCCUGGCCCUUCAUUUCUGGACAAUAUCAUCCUUUCUUAUGCUAACGGAUCCCACUUUUUUCCUACCUUUCCUUUCAUAUCAUGUUUUGUGGAUUUCUGUUAAUUCUUAUGGCUCUCUGUUACACUCUUAAUAACCAGCACCAAACACAGUGACCAUGAUGAGAUGGUAACACCAAAUAAAUAAUACUGGGAAUACCCAGUGUGUUCACAGAUUGCAUACAUGUAUCUAUAUUGUGCUUACCCAUUUUAACAACAAUGGGCUGUUAAUGAUUACAUUACAAGCUUUAAACUCCUUUCAAUAAAAAUGAUCCCUAUCUUCUUUUUUUGAACAUGGUAAGGUUCCCCACAAUUGCAGUAUUUUCAUUUGUCCCUGUUCAUUUCAUUUUAUUCCUUCCUUUACAGACCGUUCAUUUAUUUUAUCAAGAUGAUCUCUGGCAGUCUUUGAUUUCUCAUCAAACUUACUUGCACUCUCCCUCAGCUUCAUGGAAAUCUCAGUUCCAUUCUCUAGAUUGUUUAGAAAACACCGUCUUGUGUAGGUCAGACAUACUAUGGACUCUGGACUAUUGACAAUAUUUGUCCUUCUAUUUUGACAGUGAAUUAAUUUUACUGCUGUAUCAGUAUGAUUUUCCAGUUGAUUUUGCACACAUUUGAUAUUAGAUUCUUUCAGACCUGCUUUCUUGCUUUGCUCUUUCAAAGAGUCAUUGUCAACAAUGUUGAGAACAAAUGGAUUAUAGGUGUGGUACUCAAAAGCAAACAAGACUUUACAUCUAUUGAGAGAACAUAACAUACAACAAUUACUGGUUUUCCUUCCUGGUCCACUCAGUAGCUAAAAAGAUAAAUUAAAUUGGAUCUUGACAAAUCCGUAGAUGGAUUCAAAAAUCCAGGUGUGCUUUCUCCCCUUCUUUUGCAAUCCUAACAAAUUGUCACAAAAAGUCACUUUUGGCUAUUUCUCCGGAACUCCGAACAACUGAGUUAAAUUGGCUAGUUAAUAAUUAUUUGGCCUUCUUUUCAAGGUAUGUCAUGUUUGCUUUUAUCUGCUUUUGAGUAUCUCACCCAAAAAUCACGUAUUCUGUAAGACCACCAUCAAUGGUUACAGGAGUAGAUCACCCAGUUCCUGCAGUAUUCCAGGAUGAAAGUUAGUUCUUUGGAAUCAACAAAUUAGAAAAUGCGAAGCCAAGCAAAGUGCUCUCUAACCUAUCUUUUCUCUGUCUGAGGGACAGAUUAUUUCCUUGGCUAUUGAUUUUAAUUGUAGAAGCCACUUUUUAGGGAAUAUUGAUUAAAAAAAAAAAAAGCAUUAUGUAUAUUACCUUCCAGUGUCAUCUAUUAGUAGGCUUCCCCUUCUGUUUACAAGUUCACUAAGCCUGCUUUUCCUAUUACUGAUGCUUUGUUAGAAUGAUUUCAGUAGCCAAGGUUUCUAGGAAUGGCAUGUCAUUUUCUGCCUUGGCCUUCCUGAUGUUGUAUCUGUGUGCUGUUGAAAAUCUGUCUUUAGUACUCCAUUAUACUUCCUGCUUCCUGCAAAAUUUCCUCUAAUGUAUGAGAUCAAAAUGACCUAACCUAUCUGAUUGCUUACUCCCUGCUUAUCUUCUGCAACUGGAGAAUUUGCACUUGCAUCUUUAAUACCAUUUCUUUGAAGUUAUGUGAUUUCUUUCAAUUUCCCCUUUUACCUUGGAUCAAUCUUCCAGGAAAUCCUACCUAAUGACCCUCUGGAUAACUUAAAUCUGCCCUCCUGAAAUCCUGUUGCUUUUACUGCAGUGUUGCCUCUUUCCAUAUGAAGGAAAUGUGAAUUCUGUCAUUUCCCCAUCACUGACACCUGAGAUACUCUUUGACCCGGCCCCAUUCUGUGCCUCUGUUUGUUGGUUUGGAUCCAGCACUCCUCUGUGGCAAACCAAAAGAAAGGCUGCAGGGGUCUGACUCUGUCAGCACAUAGCAAACAGUUAAUGCAUUGUAAUGGGGGUAAUAAAGGAGUAAUUUUAUGUAUCGUUCUUCUGGUUUUGGUCACAACUAGUCACAGAAUGCUUUAUCCCAGGCACACAAGCCUGUGAGAGUGCUUUUACUCGCUUGAAAUAUGCAUGUUAAAAAUAACAGCAUUAAUUCUUACCUUACCACUUCACCACAAAUAAAUGUAAAGGAAUAUAUAAAGAGUGUGAAUAGCAUAUAUCUAGCCAAAUACAUGUGUUGUUACAAAAAACUUAGUUUCAGCAAUGUUAAGAGUCCCCUCUGGUCCAUAUCUUGGGUUUCUCUUAUAUUCUGCUACUGAUUUGUUCUGUGACUGCAGAGACAACUUGUAAAAGCAACCACUGACAUUUUGACCAAUCUUCUAAGAGAAUAAUCCAGACCAGGGGACAGUGAAGUGAUUAUAUAAUUUCCCUACCUGAUUUUUUACAACCUGCUUCUUACUCUGCUCCUGUUAUGGCACUGAGUUCAGUGACGAGGCACACUCACUUAACUGCCUCAUUGCAGUUAAUUCUUUGAAUAGUUAAUGCUUGCUUUAUGUGAAUUUUCUUAACAGACACCACACCACUCUAUGGCUGCAUUGUUCUUUUCCCAAGGUGGUCUUUUUUAUAGUGUGAGAAGUACAACAUUGUUGUUUUCUUUCCUGAUUAGAAGCCUUUUGGACAAGAUUUAUGCAGGGAUUUGUGUGUAUAUUGGCCUAUAUUUGUGUAAGGCCAGGAGAAAGAAGAGAACCCCUGUAACUGUGUUUCAACAGCUUUCCAGAGAAACAGUUUAUGAUGUCCUUGUUCUAAGAACAGUUAUUUGAAAUAGCCUUAACAGGGAUCAAAAUCAUGGGUUCAAAUUUACUCCCUGUAAGGCCUUAUCUCCAAGCGUUGGCUCCAAGGCUUACAACCAAGAAAGAUCUCCCAGGUCCUCAUGUUUCUGCUCUGCCUGCCAUUCAUAUGUCAGAGCACUGAGAACAUGGGUCACUACACGUGCCCUCAGAUAUUCAAGUCAACUGUUCAAAAAAUAAAUAUGGAAACUGACUUCCCUUAACUUCCCACUCUCCAUUUCUUUUCAAUUCAAAUGAGAUCUGCCCUUCUUUCCCCCGUGACUUGCUACUCUAUAACACCUGCAGCUCCUUUCAUAUCAUGCUGGAUCUCUCCUGGACUCUCUACCAUCUCAUCUUUCACACUCCUUUCCAGAUCUCCCCAGAUUUGUGAAGCACACUAUUGCUUUCCACUGUUAAAUUAAAAUAGCAAAGUAGAAAAAAAGAAGCAAACCCUUAGCGCAUUACUUUCUUCUAGGCCUACUACACCUCCCUUAGUUGCCUGCUGGUGUGAACUAAAAGCUCCUCAAGAAGAGAGCUCUCGCGUGUAUUGCUUUGUACACUGCUGGCUCCCUGAACCAUCCCCAAUGGGAUAUGAACAACACCUUGAUGUCACUUCCUUGCCACGGACAGGAUCCAAAGUAUUUGUUAGCAGUAGGCAGGCAACUGAAAUUGAAGAUAAGCAAAGAACCAGAGCUCUUGCUUGAGUACAGCAUUGACAGACGUAAAAGUUGCUUAAACUGUCUGAAGUAGAUCAUUCAGAGGAGCCUCAGAAAGAGGCAAG